Molecule: transfer RNA, 75 nt
Organism: Candidatus Nitrosopelagicus brevis
Lineage: Archaea; Thermoproteati; Nitrososphaerota
Rfam family: tRNA
About the family: Transfer RNA (tRNA) molecules are approximately 80 nucleotides in length.
Source: Rfam
GUGCGGGUAGCUCAGCAUGGAUAGAGUGUCGGACUUCUAAUCCGAUGGUCGAGGGAUCGAAGCCCUCCCCGCGCG